GGCGGUGUAGCUCAGUGGCAGAGCAGGGGUCUCAUAAGCCCCGUGUCGGAGGUUCAAUUCCUCCCACCGCCACCA
This 75-nucleotide transfer RNA is filed under the name Candidatus Rokuibacteriota bacterium. RNAcentral describes it as "Candidatus Rokubacteria bacterium tRNA-Met". It matches the Rfam family "tRNA". From Rfam's summary of the family: Transfer RNA (tRNA) molecules are approximately 80 nucleotides in length. Their secondary structure includes four short double-helical elements and three loops (D, anti-codon, and T loops). Further hydrogen bonds mediate the characteristic L-shaped molecular structure. tRNAs have two regions of fundamental functional importance: the anti-codon, which is responsible for specific mRNA codon recognition, and the 3' end, to which the tRNAs corresponding amino acid is attached (by aminoacyl-tRNA synthetases). tRNAs cope with the degeneracy of the genetic code in two manners: having more than one tRNA (with a specific anti-codon) for a particular amino acid; and 'wobble' base-pairing, i.e. permitting non-standard base-pairing at the 3rd anti-codon position. The record is from RNAcentral. Lineage: Bacteria; Candidatus Rokuibacteriota.